AUGAAGCUUCCUGAUGGAUGGCGAGCUGUGCCCCCGUGUGGAGAGGGCCACGGGCUUUCCUGGCUGGGCACUGCGCAGCUCCAUCUGUGCCAAGCAACGAGCGGCUUCUUCCUGUGGGAGGACUUGUCUUCAGCUGCUGUUUACCCAAAUAACCCCACGCUUCAUUUGGUACCAAAAGAAACCAGACGGCUGGUCACCGUCCUUUCAUUUUUCCUUCAGGAGGAAAGCAAUUCGGUGAGGAAUGCCACGAUCCCUAGAAUCAUCCCUGCCACAAGGAGAUCCACGGCUGCAAAGCAACAGCCACACAUGACAGGAUCCCAGAUUCCUCUCCUCACUCCUGCCUGCUUCUCCUGAGCACCUUCACCACCACACAAGAUAUUUCAAGGUCCUUCAGCACCUCAAAGCUGUGAAGUUGUUUAUACCUUUGCAGCACUCAGGAGCCUCAACUGACUGGAGCCCGGUGCUAACUCAAGCCUGGCAGACCCAUGACACCCAGACCUUGCCCCAAACCUUUGUGCCCACGAAGAGCUAUGCACUGGUGUUGCACGUGCUGCGGUUUGCAACCAGCAAGGAUUUUGCCAGAGAGAAGCUGCUCAGGAAAAGCAGAGGAGCAAGGCAAGUUUCUUUAUACAGCUGCUGCCUAAGGAGUUAAUCGAAACGGAAAACCACUAAAUAUGGUGCACAGCUCAUGUUUGUGUUGCAUCUUUUUUUAGCUGCUAUUUAGUUGCCUGGUUUCAGCCCACAAGGCACGGCGAGCUGCGCUGCUUGCAAGGGGCAGCACCCCUCCGUGUUGGACGGGGGAACUACACGGGCCCGAGGCCAGCGGAAAGGCAGGAGCCCUGCAGUGCUACAUCCUCACCCCACCGCCCUGGAAGUCAAAAACCACCUAGAAAAGCCUGACAGGAACAUCUCCCUUCUCCUCCUCUUGGAGCUGGCCCCAGCAGGGUAACACAGUUGAGGAGCCCUCAAUACACUGCAAUGCAAAGAAACCCAGCGCCCAUCAUCACGGGACUCUCUUGUUCUUUCCAUGGCAAACACGAUGGGAUAAACCUUAUGCUUAUGCUUACUUUCCUUUCUACUCCAAAAAAUAGCCCUACCCCCUCCUAAAAUAAGGAGCCAUAGAAAGAUCUUGGUGAAGAUAUAUAUAUAUAUAAACAUAAACAUAUAACCAGUGUGUAUAUAUAUAUAAACUAUAUAUAAAUAUAUAUAGUAUAUAUAUACACCAUUUAUAUAGUAUAUAUAUGAAUAUAUAUAGUGUACAUAUACACUAUAACAACAUUUUUUAAAAUUAAUUUUCCCAUGAGAUCUGUUCAUCUUUAAAAACAAAAAAAAUCUGCAUCACCUUUUCCCCAGU
RNAcentral lists this long non-coding RNA (1354 nucleotides) under Anser brachyrhynchus (Pink-footed goose). Its description in RNAcentral is "lncRNA (ENSABRG00000015957.1)". The record is from RNAcentral. Lineage: Eukaryota; Metazoa; Chordata; Aves; Anseriformes; Anatidae.